Molecule: ribosomal RNA, 316 nt
Filed under: uncultured bacterium
Lineage: Bacteria
Description: bacterial SSU rRNA
Rfam family: Bacterial small subunit ribosomal RNA
Source: RNAcentral
AACGAACGCUGGCGGCGUGCCUAACACAUGCAAGUCGAGCGCGAAUGGAGCAAUCCUAGUAGAGCGGCGCACGGGUGCGUAACACGUGGGUAAUCUGCCUAGAAGAUGAGGAUAACCAGUCGAAAGACUGGCUAAUACUCGAUAAGCCCACGGGGACUUCGGUCCCUGAGGGAAAGGUGGCCUCUGUAUACAAGCUAUCACUUCUAGAUGAGCCCGCGGCCCAUCAGCUAGUUGGCGGGGUAAGUGGCCCACCAAGGCGACGACGGGUAGCUGGUCUGAGAGGACGAUCAGCCACACUGGAACUGAGACACGGUCC